RNAcentral lists this ribosomal RNA (459 nucleotides) under uncultured bacterium. Its description in RNAcentral is "bacterial SSU rRNA". It matches the Rfam family "Bacterial small subunit ribosomal RNA", at positions 28 to 507 of the family's 1533-position model. The record is from RNAcentral.
GAUGAACGCUGGCGGCGUGCUUAAUACAUGCAAGUCGAACGGAGACUGUAGCAAUACUGUCUUAGUGGCGAACGGGUGAGUAACGCGUUGGUGACCUGCCCCGAAGAGGGGGAUAACAGUCCGAAAGGAUUGCUAAUACCCCAUGUGGUCGUUUGGAUUAGAUGCCUUACGACUAAACGGAUUUAUUCGCUUCGGGGGGCCUGCGUCCCAUCAGCUAGUUGGUAGGGUAAUAGCCUACCAAGGCGAUGACGGGUAGGGGACCUGAGAGGGUGGCCCCCCACAAUGGAACUGAAACACGGUCCAUACACCUACGGGUGGCAGCAGUAGGGAAUAUUGGUAAUCUGGGAAACCGGGAACCAGCAACGCCGCGUGCGCGAUGAAGGCCUUCGGGUUGUAAAGCGCUUUUUAAAGGGAUGAGGAAGGACAGUACCUUUAGAAUAAGCCUCGGCUAACUACGUG